RNAcentral lists this long non-coding RNA (370 nucleotides) under Solanum tuberosum (potato). Its description in RNAcentral is "long non-coding RNA (STUB_LNC001865)". Lineage: Eukaryota; Viridiplantae; Streptophyta; Magnoliopsida; Solanales; Solanaceae. The record is from RNAcentral.
GUCAUUUUGAGUUCGUUGAAAUUAUCGAAGUUUGAGGUACCGCUACUUCUUUAAUGGUUAAUCCGUUUUAUCUUGGGAGGAAUUAAUCUGCAACCUCGGGUACUUGAGGGGAUUAAAUUUCUUAAGGACACACAGUGGGUUCUGUGGACUCGGAUAGUUCUUUGUGUUUUUCUUUUCAUCUUUUAUUAUUUCUGGUUUGCUAAUCUGAAUACAGGAGAUAACAAGCUUAAGAAAUUUAAUGUUGGUAUUUUCUGUGGUAAGGAAAUUACUUCUAUUUUCUAUGUUCUUUUUAUGGGGAAAGAAAAACAAGAAAAAGAGAAUUAUUUUAUCAUAUGAUAAAAGAGAUUUGGGAUGAAUUAGUACUACUUUA